UGAGCAAUCUGCCCUUCUCAUCGGAAUAAGCGUUGGAAACGACGUCUAAUGCCGAAUACGACCUCCUUUCGCAUGAUCGGAGGUGGAAAGCUCCGGCGGAGAAGGAUGAGCUCGCGGCCUAUCAGCUAGUUGGUGUGGGUAAUGGCCCACCAAGGCGACGACGGGUAGCCGGCCUGAGAGGGUGACCCGGCCACACUGGGACUGAGACACGGCCCAGACCUCCGUACGGGAGCAG
RNAcentral lists this ribosomal RNA (235 nucleotides) under uncultured bacterium. RNAcentral's name for it is "partial 16S ribosomal RNA". It matches the Rfam family "Bacterial small subunit ribosomal RNA", at positions 118 to 347 of the family's 1533-position model. The record is from RNAcentral.